GACAAACGCUGGCGGCGUGCUUAACACAUGCAAGUCGAACGGAAAGGCCCUGCUUUUGUGGGGUGCUCGAGUGGCGAACGGGUGAGUAACACGUGAGUAACCUGCCCUUGACUUUGGGAUAACUUCAGGAAACUGGGGCUAAUACCGGAUAGGAGCUCCUGCUGCAUGGUGGGGGUUGGAAAGUUUCGGCGGUUGGGGAUGGACUCGCGGCUUAUCAGCUUGUUGGUGGGGUAGUGGCUUACCAAGGCUUUGACGGGUAGCCGGCCUGAGAGGGUGACCGGCCACAUUGGGACUGAGAUACGGCCCAGACUCCUACGGGAGGCAGCAGUGGGGAAUAUUGCACAAUGGGCGGAAGCCUGAUGCAACAACGCCGCGUGCGGGAUGACGGCCUUCGGGUUGUAAACCGCUUUCGCCUGUGACGAAGCGUGAGUGACGGUAAUGGGUAAAGAAGCACCGGCUAACUACGUG
RNAcentral lists this ribosomal RNA (468 nucleotides) under uncultured bacterium. Its description in RNAcentral is "partial 16S ribosomal RNA". It matches the Rfam family "Bacterial small subunit ribosomal RNA", at positions 28 to 507 of the family's 1533-position model. The record is from RNAcentral.